GAUGAACGCUGGCGGCGUGCCUAAUACAUGCAAGUCGAGCGAACAGACGAGGAGCUUGCUCCUCUGACGUUAGCGGCGGACGGGUGAGUAACACGUGUAUAACCUACCUAUAAGACUGGGAUCACUUCGGGAAACCGGAGCUAAUACCGGAUAAUAUAUUCAACCGCAUGGUUCAAUAGUGAAAGACGGUUUUGCUGUCACUUAUAGAUGGAUCCGCGCCGCAUUAGCUAGUUGGUAAGGUAACGGCUUACCAAGGCAACGAUGCGUAGCCGACCUGAGAGAGUGAUCGGCCACACGGGAACUGAGACACGGUCCAGACUCCUACGGGAGGCAGCAGUAGGGAAUCUGCCGCAAUGGGCGAAAGCCUGACGGAGCAACGCCGCGUGAGUGAUGAAGGUCUUCGGAUCGUAAAACUCUGUUAUUAGGGAAGAACAAAUGUGUAAGUAACUAUGCACGUCUUGACGGUACCUAAUCAGAAAGCCACGGCUAACUACGUG
RNAcentral lists this ribosomal RNA (497 nucleotides) under uncultured bacterium. RNAcentral describes it as "partial 16S ribosomal RNA". It matches the Rfam family "Bacterial small subunit ribosomal RNA", at positions 28 to 507 of the family's 1533-position model. The record is from RNAcentral.